Molecule: long non-coding RNA, 2111 nt
Organism: Hypanus sabinus (Atlantic stingray)
Lineage: Eukaryota; Metazoa; Chordata; Chondrichthyes; Myliobatiformes; Dasyatidae
Exons: 5
Source: RefSeq, a predicted model, not a curated record
GUCGGAAGUUGGGUUUGUUUGCCAAUCUGCCUCAGUACUUUGGUGAGUCAUGUUUAUGUGACAGGAAACUUUUAAUAUCCCCCACACCGCAACUACUAUCAUCUGUAGGUCGGAGAAGGCCUUUGACAAGGUGCCACACAUGAGGCUGCUAAACAAGAAAAGAACCCUGGUAUCACAGAAAAGAUACUAGUAUGGACAGCAGAAUGACUGAUGGCAGAAGGCAAAGAAUGGAAAUAAAGGGGCCUUUUCAGAAACCCGUGCACAUCAAUCAGGUCUGACAGGAAGAAGAUGAUUCUGAUCAAGACAGACUGUCACUCUACUAAUGAUGCUGCAUACAAUGAAGAGGAUAACGUAGAAGUAGGAUCUGCAUAUGGUGAGGCAUGAGUAACUUGCAAGAUUACAGAAGCCAAGGAUUUCAUGAAUGCCAGCUUGCUGGUGGACAAGCUAGCACGAGGAAACUUGCAGAUGCUGGAAAUUCAAACAACACACACAAAAUGCUGGUGGAACACAGCAGGCCAGGCAGCAUCUAUAAGGAGAAGCAUUGUCGACAUUUCGGGCCGAGACCCUUCGUCAGGACUAACUGAAAGGAAAGAUAGUUGACAGCUGGCUGACGUUAUUUUUGGUUUGCUGCUGGCGGACAAUUUACGUUCGGCGUUUUUCAUAAAUACAGGAAGGACUCAAGUAGACGUUGAGUAUUUUACUUUAAUGUAACCUUCAACCCAACAUCUUUUUUUCAGAGUUCAACAGGUUUUUGUUGCAUGCAGAAAUGUAAUUUCACUUUCUCUGCAGGAGUUCAUCAAUUUCAUAAAUGCAACACAUUAUAAUCUGUUUAUCCAUAGCAUAAAGGCAAAAAAAAACAUUGUAUGCAGUGUUAUUUCAUUUAUCAUUUUAAAUGUCAAAUGGGUUUUUUGGCUCCCAGUGUUUUCUUUUCUGUGGGAAACGGGUCCAAAUGGCUCUUUCAGUGGUAAAGGUUGCUGACCCCUGUUCUAGCCCAACCUCUUUCUCAGGAGCUUUAAACUUCUUUCAUUUAUAAUUUUUCCCAAUUCCUAUAAGAGGUAAUUUACUUAAAAAUGUAAUAGGUACAGGAGUAAACCAUUUGGUCACCCAAACCUCUCUACCAUUCGACAAGGGUAUGGCUGGCCUUCUACCCUAAAUGUUGCUUUCCGACCCUAUCCUUAUAAUCCUUGACUCCUCUAAUAGCCAGCAAUGGUAACAAUGGGAGGUUUUAAAUGUGUAUAAAGACAUGGCAGAAACAAGUAGAGAUAUCCAAUAAUUAACUUUUGCAAAAUCGUUUGUACCUUUAAAUCUUCAGCUGGUUAGUAUGUUUCUGCAUAUGAGUGCUUGUUCUGCCAGACAAGAUUAAGAGAGGACGUUUGCUGAAAUCUGAACUCUAGAAUGUUAGCAGUUCAAAUUUCAAGUAAGUUUAUUGUUAAAGUACAUAUAUGUCACCAUAUAAAACCCUGAGAUUCAUUUUCUUGCAGGCAUACUCAGUAAAUCCAUAAAGGAAUAAUAACCGUAAUAAAAUCAAUAUAAGACCGCACCAACUUAGUCGUUCAACCAGUGUGCAAAAGACAACAAACUGUACAAAUACAGAAAGAAACAAAUAGUAGUAAUAAAUAAAUAAGCAAUAAAAAUGAAGAAACCUUGAAAGUGAAACUUUGGUUGUGGGUACAUUUCAAUAUGGGGCAAGUGAAGUUAGAGUAAAGUUACCCCUUUGGUUCAAGAGCCUGAUGACUGAGGGGUAAUAACUGUUCCUGAACCUGGUGGCAUGAGUUCAGAGGCUCCAGGACCUUCUUAUGAAUGGCAGCAGCAAGAAGAGAGCAUGACCUGGGUGAUGGAGUCCCUGGUGAUAGAUGCUCCUUUCCUGUGACGAAUCUUCAUGUAGACAGGCUUAAUGGUGGGGAGGGCUUUACCCAUGAUAGACUGGAUUGUAUCCACUCCUUUUUGUAAGAUUUUCCAUUCAACGGCAUUGGUGUUUCCAUGCUAGGCUGUGAUGCAGCUGGCUGAUAUACUCUCCACUACACAUCUAUAGAUGUUAGUCAAAGUUUCAGAUGUCAUGCUCCUAAGGAUGUAGAGAUGCUACCAGGCUUUCUUCAUUAAUUGCACUUACA